CUUGAAGGAACUAAAGCUGCUCUCCAUAUUCUGAUCCAUGGCGAGGGAAACAACAACAGCAAUUGAACUGCUCACUGAGAGCUGGGAUCCUUGGCAAAAGAGAAAACGGCCGACAGAGCACAGACAGAGCGCACUUCACAAACCGACAUGUAAUAACAUUUGAAAACGAAAUUCUGAAAAUCCUCAUGAAUCCAAGCUUCACUCUGGAGAAUCUGCAAGUGCCAGGCUGGAGGACUACAGG
RNAcentral lists this long non-coding RNA (241 nucleotides) under Dasypus novemcinctus (nine-banded armadillo). RNAcentral's name for it is "lncRNA (ENSDNOG00000051064.1)". Lineage: Eukaryota; Metazoa; Chordata; Mammalia; Cingulata; Dasypodidae. The record is from RNAcentral.